AUAUGACAAGCCCGAUUCCAUCCUCGAAAAGCCAUACCUAGAGAAGAUCUAGAAAAGACCUCUUUCUUUACCUAUAUGGAUGGCUAGCAACCGGAACUGGGACAGAAGGAAUUCAAUAAAAGUUGCCAUCUUCCUAGGAGACGGACAAGGAAGCUAAAGAAGGUUUUCUGCCAGCGACUACGGCAUCUCCCGCUAUUACUUUAAAUGAAUCCGUGGGGCCGGCUUGAAAGCAGAGAAUCGAAGAUUGAUUUUUG
RNAcentral lists this unclassified non-coding RNA (254 nucleotides) under Hevea brasiliensis (rubber tree). Lineage: Eukaryota; Viridiplantae; Streptophyta; Magnoliopsida; Malpighiales; Euphorbiaceae. The record is from RNAcentral.